This 287-nucleotide long non-coding RNA is filed under the name Anser brachyrhynchus (Pink-footed goose). RNAcentral's name for it is "lncRNA (ENSABRG00000017728.1)". The record is from RNAcentral. Lineage: Eukaryota; Metazoa; Chordata; Aves; Anseriformes; Anatidae.
CCUGGGAAAGCCUCUAACAUAGGUUGUUGUAAGUUUAAAAAACAAAAACAACAACAAAUAAAGGUUUUUUUUAUUUGUUUGUUUGUUUUUUCCUGCAGAUUUGGUCAGAUCAGAUAGGGAAAAUGCAAAUUCUGGGAGCAAACAGAAGUUCAUGAGAACUUUAAGGAAAUUCUCAGAAAUGCCAGAAGUCUCCAGGAAUGUUGAAAGUGUGACUAAACUAGGAACUAGAGAGGUUGUUAGAGAAUGAGCUGAUUUCUGCCAGGAAAUUCAGAAGAGAAGAUUUAAAC